UACGGGAGGGGCAAGCGUUGUUCGGAAUUACUGGGCGUAAAGGGCUCGUAGGCGGCCAACUAAGUCAGACGUGAAAUCCCCAGGCUUAACCUGGGAACGGUCAACUGAUACUGUCGGACUAGAGUGCAGAAGGGGCAACUGGAAUUCUCGGUGUAGCGGUGAAAUGCGUAGAUAUCGAGAGGAACACCUGCGGCGAAGGCGGGUUGCUGGGCUGACACUGACGCUGAGGCGCGAAAGCUAGGGGAGCGAACGGG
This 254-nucleotide ribosomal RNA is filed under the name uncultured bacterium. Its description in RNAcentral is "partial 16S ribosomal RNA". It matches the Rfam family "Bacterial small subunit ribosomal RNA", at positions 524 to 776 of the family's 1533-position model. The record is from RNAcentral.